This 435-nucleotide ribosomal RNA is filed under the name uncultured Latescibacterota bacterium. Its description in RNAcentral is "bacterial SSU rRNA". It matches the Rfam family "Bacterial small subunit ribosomal RNA", at positions 946 to 1382 of the family's 1533-position model. The record is from RNAcentral. Lineage: Bacteria; Pseudomonadati; Candidatus Latescibacterota.
UUAAUUCGAUGAUACGCGAAGAACUUACCGGGUUUGACAUGCAGGUGAUCGCCGUUGAAAGACGGUUCCUCUUCGGAGGCACCUGCACAGGUGCUGCAUGGCUGUCGUCAGCUCGUGUCGUGAGAUGUUGGGUUAAGUCCCGCAACGAGCGCAACCCUUAUCCCCAGUUGCCAUCAGGUAAAGCUGGGAACUCUGGGGGGACUGCCGGUGAUAAACCGGAGGAAGGCGGGGAUGACGUCAAGUCCUCAUGGCCCUUACAUCCCGGGCUACACACGUGCUACAAUGGCAGGUACAGAGGGCUGCGAAGCCGCGAGGUGGAGCGAAUCCCAGAAAACCUGUCUCAGUCCGGAUUGAAGUCUGCAACUCGACUGCGUGAAGUCGGAAUCGCUAGUAAUCGUGAAUCAGAAUGUCACGGUGAAUACGUUCCCGGGCCUU